This 815-nucleotide ribosomal RNA is filed under the name uncultured Streptococcus sp. RNAcentral's name for it is "bacterial SSU rRNA". It matches the Rfam family "Bacterial small subunit ribosomal RNA", at positions 32 to 833 of the family's 1533-position model. Lineage: Bacteria; Bacillati; Bacillota; Bacilli; Lactobacillales; Streptococcaceae. The record is from RNAcentral.
AACGCUGGCGGCUGCCUAAUACAUGCAAGUAGAACGCUGAAGGAGGAGCUUGCUUCUCUGGAUGAGUUGCGAACGGGUGAGUAACGCGUAGGUAACCUGCCUGGUAGCGGGGGAUAACUAUUGGAAACGAUAGCUAAUACCGCAUAAGAGUAGAUGUUGCAUGACAUUUGCUUAAAAGGUGCAAUUGCAUUACUACCAGAUGGACCUGCGUUGUAUUAGCUAGUUGGUGGGGUAACGGCUCACCAAGGCGACGAUACAUAGCCGACCUGAGAGGGUGAUCGGCCACACUGGGACUGAGACACGGCCCAGACUCCUACGGGAGGCAGCAGUAGGGAAUCUUCGGCAAUGGACGGAAGUCUGACCGAGCAACGCCGCGUGAGUGAAGAAGGUUUUCGGAUCGUAAAGCUCUGUUGUAAGAGAAGAACGAGUGUGAGAGUGGAAAGUUCACACUGUGACGGUAUCUUACCAGAAAGGGACGGCUAACUACGUGCCAGCAGCCGCGGUAAUACGUAGGUCCCGAGCGUUGUCCGGAUUUAUUGGGCGUAAAGCGAGCGCAGGCGGUUAGAUAAGUCUGAAGUUAAAGGCUGUGGCUUAACCAUAGUACGCUUUGGAAACUGUUUAACUUGAGUGCAAGAGGGGAGAGUGGAAUUCCAUGUGUAGCGGUGAAAUGCGUAGAUAUAUGGAGGAACACCGGUGGCGAAAGCGGCUCUCUGGCUUGUAACUGACGCUGAGGCUCGAAAGCGUGGGGAGCAAACAGGAUUAGAUANCCUGGUAGUCCACGCCGUAAACGAUGAGUGCUAGGUGUUAGACCCUUU